RNAcentral lists this small nucleolar RNA (82 nucleotides) under Amborella trichopoda. The record is from RNAcentral. Lineage: Eukaryota; Viridiplantae; Streptophyta; Magnoliopsida; Amborellales; Amborellaceae.
AUGAAUGACAAGAUGCACUAGGCUCUCAGCAUUUUUCACAAAUUGAUGGAAACGCAUUUGCCUAGAAAGCAUUGUUUGACUA